AUAAACUGACGAGUCUCAGAUAGGACGAAAUGUGCGUCCUGGAU
Molecule: non-coding RNA, 44 nt
Organism: Schistosoma haematobium
Lineage: Eukaryota; Metazoa; Platyhelminthes; Trematoda; Strigeidida; Schistosomatidae
Source: Rfam